RNAcentral lists this ribosomal RNA (266 nucleotides) under Lepiota cristata. RNAcentral's name for it is "partial large subunit ribosomal RNA". The record is from RNAcentral. Lineage: Eukaryota; Fungi; Basidiomycota; Agaricomycetes; Agaricales; Agaricaceae.
ACGCUUGAAGUCAGUCGCGUUGGCCGGGGAUCAGCCUUGCUUUUGCAUGGUGUACUUUCCGGUUGAUGGGUCAGCAUCAAUUUUGACCGCUGGAAAAAGGCUUGGGGAAUGUGGCAGCUCCGGCUGUGUUAUAGCCCCUUGUCAUAUACAGCGGUUGGGAUUGAGGAACUCAGCACGCCGCAAGGCCGGGGUCAAACCACGUUCGUGCUUAGGAUGCUGGCAUAAUGGCUUUAAGCGACCCGUCUUGAAACACGGACCAAGGAGUC